GCCGAUUAGGUAGACGGUGGGGUAACGGCCCCCCGUGCCAAUAAUCGGUACGGGUGGUGAGAGCCAGAACCCGGAGACGGAAUCUGAGACAAGAUUCCGGGCCUACGGGGCGCAGCAGGCGCGAAACCUUUACACUGCACGCCAGUGCGAUAAGGGGAUCCCAAGUGUGUAGGCAUAGAGCCUACGCUUUUGUUCACCCUAGGGAGGUGUACGAAUAAGGGCUGGGCAAGACCGGUGCCAGCCGCCGCGGUAAUACCGGCAGCCCAAGUGAUGGCCGAUUUUAUUGGGCCUAAAGCGUCCGUAGCUGGCCGCGCAAGUCCAUCGGGAAAUCCACCCGCUCAACGGGUGGACGUCCGGUGGAAACUGCACGGCUUGGGACCGGAAGGCGCGACGGGUACGUCCGGGGUAGGAGUGAAAUCCCGUAAUCCUGGACGGACCACCGAUGGCGAAAGCACGUCGCGAGAACGGAUCCGACAGUGAGGGACGAAAGCUAGGGUCUCGAACCGGAUUAGAUACCCGGGUAGUCCUAGCCGUAAACGAUGCCUGUUAGGUGUGGCUCCCACUACGAGUGGGUGCUGUGCCGUAGGGAAGCCGCUAAACAGGCCGCCUGGGAAGUACGUCCGCAAGGAUGAAAUUCAAA
RNAcentral lists this ribosomal RNA (640 nucleotides) under uncultured haloarchaeon. Its description in RNAcentral is "bacterial SSU rRNA". It matches the Rfam family "Archaeal small subunit ribosomal RNA", at positions 220 to 860 of the family's 1478-position model. The record is from RNAcentral. Lineage: Archaea; Methanobacteriati; Methanobacteriota; Halobacteria; Halobacteriales; Halobacteriaceae.